GCCAUGGGGUUUGCGAUUACCCCAUGAGGCGUCAGCUGAAUUUUCGCGUCCAUUCAACCUCAAAUUAUCAGGAGGGAGGACGCUCUG
Molecule: non-coding RNA, 87 nt
Filed under: unclassified sequences
Description: chrB RNA
Rfam family: chrB-a RNA
Source: RNAcentral